UAGACUUGACAUCUCCUGAAUUACUCUGUAAUGGAGGAAGCCACUUCGGUGGCAGGAAGAC
Molecule: ribosomal RNA, 61 nt
Filed under: uncultured Clostridium sp.
Lineage: Bacteria; Bacillati; Bacillota; Clostridia; Eubacteriales; Clostridiaceae
Description: partial 16S rRNA
Source: RNAcentral